RNAcentral lists this ribosomal RNA (459 nucleotides) under uncultured bacterium. RNAcentral's name for it is "partial 16S ribosomal RNA". It matches the Rfam family "Bacterial small subunit ribosomal RNA", at positions 338 to 795 of the family's 1533-position model. The record is from RNAcentral.
CCUACGGGUGGCAGCAGUGAGGAAUAUUGGUCAAUGGCCGAGAGUCUGAACCAGCCAAGUCGCGUGAGGGAUGACGGCCCUACGGGUUGUAAACCUCUUUUGUCGGGGAGCAAAGAGAGUCACGUGUGGCUCAUUGAGAGUACCCGAAGAAAAAGCAUCGGCUAACUCCGUGCCAGCAGCCGCGGUAAUACGGAGGAUGCGAGCGUUAUCCGGAUUUAUUGGGUUUAAAGGGUGCGCAGGCGGAGGUGCAAGUCAGUGGUCAAAUUGUGGGGCUCAACCCCGUACUGCCGUUGAAACUGCAUCCCUUGAGUGCGCGAGAAGUAUGCGGAAUGCGUGGUGUAGCGGUGAAAUGCGUAGAUAUAUGGAAGAACACCAGUGGCGAAAGCGGCUCUCUGGUCUGUAACUGACGCUGAGGUUCGAAAGCGUGGGUAGCAAACAGGAUUAGAUACCCCUGUAGUC